Molecule: long non-coding RNA, 1336 nt
Filed under: Arachis ipaensis
Lineage: Eukaryota; Viridiplantae; Streptophyta; Magnoliopsida; Fabales; Fabaceae
Description: long non-coding RNA (AIPA_LNC001899)
Source: RNAcentral
UGCUGAAUCUCUCGGUUAAGAGAGAUCUGUUUGAACAGCGCCGAUUUCAGAUCCUCCAAUUGAUUUGGAUCGGAAUAUGACGCAUUGUGCUGAAAAGUUCGAUUCCAAGCGGUUAAGAGCCCUAGUUGCUGCUCCCGCAAGAGGUUAAUGGCGCGCAAUUCAGAUUCCUUCAUUUGACCGGAGAGAUAAUCGGAGGAGAAGCUGGCGAUAGGGCCAUGGCGAAUUUCGGUGAUAGAGAAGAAGAGAACGACGGCGAUGACGACGAGGAUCAAGAAAAUGUACCUCUUCCGGAGCUGGAAUCGCCGAGAGCUCGAGCUGAUAUCUUCGACGUGGAAAGCGGCGGCGCCGGCGGUGGUGGAGGUGGAGGGAAGAGUGGGAGGCUUUCUAACGUUUUGGUCGAUGAGGUUGUGGCGGUCGUCUUCGUCGUCGGAAGACGAAUCCAUGUGGUUUAGUUUGUUAGCCACAGCGGCAGUGUGAUGAAGAAGCGAGUGAAGGAGUCAGUGAGUGAGUAGCAGUAGCAGAAAUGGUAGAGCCAAAGAGGUUGCAGUUGCAGAAGAUCCAGCCAUGUGAGUGAGCCAGAGAGCGAGUGAGUGAAUCGUUGGUGAGUCACUGAGUCGAUUUGUCGGUGAAAGUGACUCGGUUUAGUGAGUAAGUGGCGGUUAGCGAGAAGAGGAGGGACACGGAUUAGGUGCGCAACCUAUGUUUUGUCACCGAAGCGCCCAAAACAAUUUUGACGCACCACUGCACCAGUGCGCUCAAAAAGAAUUGUAUAUUUGUAUGUAAUAUACUUUAUUUUUUGGGUAUUCGGUUAUUUAUAACAAUAUCUAUAAUCUAUAAUAUCUAUAUCUAUAAUUCUAUAAUAAUAUAUAAUGCCAGCAAGCAAGAAUUUACCAUCUUUAGGGUUCCAAUCAAUGGUUUUUCUCUGUGAGAAGUUCUGAUCCACUGUUCUACACCUAUUGUAACUAACUCCACCGAACAAAUUAGGAUUUCUAAAAUCGAAAUCAGGCUCAUUUGUGUUACCUGUUCGAUGCGGAUUCAGCAGAACCUGCUGAAUCUCUCGGUUAAGAGAGAUCUGUUUGAACAGCGCCGAUUUCAGAUCCUCCAAUUGAUUUGGAUCGGAAUAUGACGCAUUGUGCUGAAAAGUUCGAUUCCAAGCGGUUAAGAGCCCUAGUUGCUGCUCCCGCAAGAGGUUAAUGGCGCGCAAUUCAGAUUCCUUCAUUUGACCGGAGAGAUAAUCGGAGGAGAAGCUGGCGAUAGGGCCAUGGCGAAUUUCGGUGAUAGAGAAGAAGAGAACGACGGCGAUGACGACGAGGAUCAAGAAAAUGUACCUCUUCCG